UCCUACGGGGGGCAGCAGUAGGGAAUCUUCCACAAUGGACGAAAGUCUGAUGGAGCAACGCCGCGUGAGUGAAGAAGGGUUUCGGCUCGUAAAGCUCUGUUGGUAGUGAAGAAAGAUAGAGGUAGUAACUGGCCUUUAUUUGACGGUAAUUACUUAGAAAGUCACGGCUAACUACGUGCCAGCAGCCGCGGUAAUACGUAGGUGGCAAGCGUUAUCCGGAUUUAUUGGGCGGAAAGGGAAAGCAGGCGGGCUUUUUAGUCUGAUGUGAA
Molecule: ribosomal RNA, 269 nt
Filed under: uncultured bacterium
Lineage: Bacteria
Description: partial 16S ribosomal RNA
Rfam family: Bacterial small subunit ribosomal RNA
Source: RNAcentral